This 253-nucleotide ribosomal RNA is filed under the name uncultured bacterium. RNAcentral describes it as "partial 16S ribosomal RNA". It matches the Rfam family "Bacterial small subunit ribosomal RNA", at positions 524 to 776 of the family's 1533-position model. The record is from RNAcentral.
UACAGAGGUCCCAAGCGUUGUCCGGAAUUAUUGGGCGUAAAGCGCGCGCAGGCGGUCCUUUAAGUCUGAUGUGAAAGCCCACGGCUCAACCGUGGAGGGUCAUUGGAAACUGGGGGACUUGAGUGCAGAAGAGGAAAGCGGAAUUCCACGUGUAGCGGUGAAAUGCGUAGAGAUGUGGAGGAACACCAGUGGCGAAGGCGGCUUUCUGGUCUGUAACUGACGCUGAGGCGCGAAAGCGUGGGGAGCAAACAGG